UUUAGUUUUUUAUCUGAUUUGUCAACUACUUUGGGUUAUUAACUUGUAUUAAUUGUCUUUAACCUAUUACAACCCCCUUCCAAACUUCCUACUAAUGCUCUACCAUUCCAUUUCAUUAGAAUUCCUACACGUCAAAGAUGGGGUCCAACAUGAUAGAGGGGAGACGUAUGUCUGUCUUAGAUCAACUCCUUUUCACUAAGUGCACAACGGAGUUGAAACCCUCUUGUUAACUCCUUUUAGAUCACUUACCAUGGAUAUAGGAAAUGAUCGUAACUGAUUCAUCUGUGACUUUGCCUCCUACGAUCAUAGGACAUCCAUCUAAGUUACAACCCCCUUCAUAACUUCCCACGGAUCCUCAGCCUCACCCAAUUGCAGAAGAAAGAGAUGAGCCACUUAAAGAGCCACGUAUUGCUUCGAAGAGGCGUGAUUUUGAUGAUCCGCCAUAGUCAUAGAUAUCGAUAGAGACAUAUAGUUCUAGUUGUGGUCAUUGAAGGACCACUGUUUGGAUAUAUUGGACAUUUAUAUAUAUGUAUAUAUUGACUUUGAUAGACAUGGCACAUGCCACAUUUUUGUAGCUAUUAUUGAUUUGGCAUCUAUGCCAUUUUUUG
This is a long non-coding RNA of Cryptomeria japonica (Japanese cedar), 608 nucleotides long. RefSeq lists it as uncharacterized. The transcript is spliced from 3 exons. NCBI's taxonomy places the organism in Eukaryota, Viridiplantae, Streptophyta, Pinopsida, Cupressales, Cupressaceae. The record is from RefSeq and is a predicted model, not a curated record.